Stegodyphus dumicola is the source of this 2021-nucleotide long non-coding RNA. The record is from RefSeq and is a predicted model, not a curated record. Lineage: Eukaryota; Metazoa; Arthropoda; Arachnida; Araneae; Eresidae.
CAGUCGCUUUGAUUUGCGCAUGGGCAAUAUUUCCUAUUUUGGGGUACAAUGUCGAAAGUUUGCGGUAGAAUGUCUAAAGUUAAAAAAGCUGAAGAAAGAAAGCGCGUUAUGCAUUUGAGAAGUAAUUUAAUAUGUAUGUAUUUGCUGUACAAAAGCGUUUGUGUUCCAAGGCGGGAAUGGGUUCGGUCAAUUUUUCAAGAGCGAGAUACGUAUUCCGCUCAUGCAGCAUUGUUUCCGUCACUGAGGCAGAAGUACCCAGAAUUAUUUUUCAAUUAUACUUGAAUGACGGCAAGUUAUUUUUAUUUUUUAGCAAAACCUGAAAGUAAAAAUUGAAGGAAAGGUCAUCAGUCGUGAAGUCACGUUUCUGACCUCCUUGUUUCGCCCAGUGGGCAGAAAGAUUUAGGAAAGUGCCGAAACGAGAAAUCUGUGUCUAUCCAUUGUAUGCUUCUGUAAAACAGUGUGGCGCUAAAGACGGUAAUUUGAAAAUUUACCCGAGUACAGUAGCGAGUGAUUCUAUACAUAAUUUAUUUAUAUUUUCAUAUAGAUAAUUGUAAGAAAGGAUGUUCUUAUUCAAAUUUUCAGUAUUUGUUUAGGAUACCCAAGCAAACUAUCAAAAAUUAUACCAGAAGUUUUGGAAGCUUUAUGGGAAUCCAUGCAAAAUUACGUAAAGAUACCAAACUCUGCUGAAGAAUGGCAAAGUAUUGCAGAAGCUUUUGAUGAAAAGUGGAACCUGCCACACUGAUUGGUGCUAUUGAUGGGAAAUAUAUUAUGAUAAAAGCACCUGUAGAUGGUGGCAGCACUUUUUAUAAUUACAAAAACUUCAAUAGUAUUGUUCUGAUGGCAUCAGUUGAUGCAAACUACAAUUUUACAUUCAUUGAUGUCGCAUGUAAUGGACGAGUAUCGGAUGGAGGAGUUUUUGCUAGGACAAGUUUUGUUUUUCAUUAUUAGAAAAUAACUGCAUAGAGCUGCCAAUCCCAACUCCUUUGGUACCAAGUAGUGAUCCUGUGAACUACUUUAUAGUUGCUGAUGAAGCAUUCCCUUUAAAACCAUAUCUGAUGAGACCAUAUCCUGGCAGAAAUAUCUCUCAGCAACAGAGGAUUUUUCAAUUAUCGACUGUCCAAGGCAAGCUGCAUUCAGGAUACUGUCCAACAGAUUUCAGAUCCUGAUGCAAUUGAUUCAACUGCCUCCACCGACAGUUGAUAAAAUUGUUUCUGUAUGCUGUUGCAUGCAUAACGUUCUGCGAGAAAGACCAUCUAGACAACUAUAUAUGCCAGGAGAACUCAUCGACCAUGAAGAUGACGAGUUUAAUUUUGUGCCAGGCUUCUGGUGAAGCCAGGAAUCCAAUAACAAAAUGAAAGCUCUCUCUAAACAAAAUGGCUAUGAGACGAGGUCUUUUGAAGCAAGACUUUUGUGAGAAAGAAUAUGUCAUUAUGUCAAGAAUGAAGGACAAGUAAAAUGGCAGAAUAAACAUUGAAAAUAGCAUUAAAUAUUUAAUUUCAUAAAAUAAUAAAAAUAAAGAAUGUUAUUUGUAACAAUUUUUACUUUCUGUUGCAAAACAAUAUGAAAAAAUAUGUGAAGUCUUAUUUAUUUUUUCACAUUCAUAGAAUUUAAUUUAUUUUAUUUUGUUCUGUCUGUGCAUCUCUGAGAAUUUGAAGCAUUUCAAAUUUUGUAUCUGUAAGGAGUUGGGGGUCUUGUAUUUGUCUUAAUUCAGAGCUGAGAUAGAAACCAAAUUGUGAUAGUGGAUCUGGAUUAUUUUCUUUUGAUUUUAGAAUUGCUGAAAUGUUUCCUAGUGUGGCUGCUGUGAAUAUGUGUUCAUGUUUCUGUUUUUUAUUUGAAUUUGUAGUGUUUGGUGUGCAUGUUUUUGAUAAUUGUGUAUUAUGCAGUUCUGGAAUUUCCUGUGAUUCUUCUGUAGCCUUGCUCUUCAAAAUCACUGUCUUCUCAAAAGAAUAUGUAGUUUCUUCUUGUGAUUCAUGUUCAGCAUCAUUUGGAUUCUGCAAAUUAAAAUUAUAUGUUGGUUUUUA